AUUGCACGCUGGCGGCAGGCCUAACACAUGCAAGUCGAGCGGCGCGGCGGUCGGGUGCGUAAUGCCUAUGAAUCUGCCUGUUCGUGGUGGAUAACGACCGCAAAUGGGCGCUAUUACUACUUCCUCUUAGAUUAGCCUAGGUCGGAUUAGCUAGUUGGUGGGGUAAAGGCCUACCAAGGCGACGAUCCGUAACUGGUCUGAGAGGAUGAUCAGUCACACUGGAACUGAGACACGGUCCAGACUCCUACGGGAGGCAGCAGUGGGGAAUAUUGGACAAUGGGCGAAAGCCUGAUCCAGCCAUGCCGCGUGUGUGAAGAAGGCCUUCGGAUUGUAAAGCACUUUAAGUUGGGAGGCGUUACCAACAGAAUAAGCACCGGCUAACUUCGUGCCAGCAGCCGCGGUAAUAC
Molecule: ribosomal RNA, 407 nt
Filed under: uncultured bacterium
Lineage: Bacteria
Description: partial 16S ribosomal RNA
Rfam family: Bacterial small subunit ribosomal RNA
Source: RNAcentral